RNAcentral lists this ribosomal RNA (465 nucleotides) under uncultured bacterium. Its description in RNAcentral is "bacterial SSU rRNA". It matches the Rfam family "Bacterial small subunit ribosomal RNA", at positions 39 to 497 of the family's 1533-position model. The record is from RNAcentral.
GCGGCAGGCUUAACACAUGCAAGUCGAGGGGUAACAGGGAUUGCUUGCAAUCCGCUGACGACCGGCGCACGGGUGCGUAACGCGUAUGCAACCUACCUUUUACAAGGGGAUAGCCCAGAGAAAUUUGGAAUAAUACCCUAUACGAUCAUCAAUUGGCAUCAAUUAAUGAAGAAAACUCCGGUGGUAAAAGAUGGGCAUGCGUCCUAUUAGUUAGUUGGUAAGGUAACGGCUUACCAAGACUUCGAUAGGUAGGGGCCCUGAGAGGGGGAUCCCCCACACUGGUACUGAGACACGGACCAGACUCCUACGGGAGGCAGCAGUGAGGAAUAUUGGACAAUGGAGGCAACUCUGAUCCAGCCAUGCCGCGUGCAGGAUGACGGCCCUAUGGGUUGUAAACUGCUUUUAUAUAGGAAGAAACCUUUUCACGUGUGAGAAGCUGACGGUACUAUAAGAAUAAGGACCGGC